Molecule: ribosomal RNA, 479 nt
Filed under: Stumpffia mamitika
Lineage: Eukaryota; Metazoa; Chordata; Amphibia; Anura; Microhylidae
Description: partial large subunit ribosomal RNA
Rfam family: Bacterial large subunit ribosomal RNA
Source: RNAcentral
AUAACCGUGCGUAUGUAGACAUAUCACUUGUUCUUUAAAUCAGGACCAGUAUGAAUGGCCCCACGAGGACUACACUGUCUCCCCCCUCUAAUCAGUGAAACUGAUCUCCCCGUGAAGUAUCCCUAUAAGACGAGAAGACCCCAUGGAACUUUAAACUAGUACCACCUCUCUAUACAAGACCCCAUGACUACUAGUCUUUCGGCUGGGGCGACCCCGGGAAAAAAUAAAACCCCCGAGAUGAAAGGAAUUACCUUAUCUCAGAACUACUAUUCCAAGAAUCAAAAAAUGACACCAUUGACCCAAUAAUUGACCCAAUAAUUGACCAACGAACCAAGCUACCCUGGGGAUAACAGCGCGAUCCAUUUCAAGAGCCCCUAUCGACAAAUGGGCUUACGACCUCGAUGUUGGAUCAGGAAAUCCUAGUGGUGCAGCCGCUACUAAAGGUUCGUUUGUUCAACGAUUAAAAUCCUACGUGAUCU